Molecule: non-coding RNA, 20 nt
Filed under: Arabidopsis thaliana (thale cress)
Lineage: Eukaryota; Viridiplantae; Streptophyta; Magnoliopsida; Brassicales; Brassicaceae
Also listed under: 1 other name
Source: RNAcentral
CGGACUGGGAACGGCUCUCU